Molecule: non-coding RNA, 1300 nt
Organism: Carica papaya (papaya)
Lineage: Eukaryota; Viridiplantae; Streptophyta; Magnoliopsida; Brassicales; Caricaceae
Source: RefSeq, a predicted model, not a curated record
GUCUCAUCUUCUAGCUCCAAGGGCCACCUCACCUUCGACGCUCGAGCUGUCCUCCUUCCAUCAGUCAUUGCUGCUUGAGCUUCUCUUUUAGCGAAAAGAAAAAAAAAAAACUGCUGAAAAAUGUUCUUUUGGCAGCAAUGAUUUUCCAGGGAAAGUCUCUUCAGGUUUCCUGGAAAACUCUUGAUCCUAUGGAUCUGAAUUUGUAGUUGCAAAAACUUCCAGAGUGAUGACUCAAAUGGGUAGGAAGAAGAAGACGACUUUUCUCAAUGUCGAAGAUGCUGUUGAGUUCUUCAAGCAUCUGAUGGCGGAGAGACCUUCUGUGAUCUUGUUGAUUCCUGCGAUUUUGGUGUUGUGAGUUGUUGAGAGAUGGGUUUUCUCUUUGUCAAAUUGGGUUGCUCUUGGUGUUGCAUUAUGGACAACUGUUCAGGCAAGUUCCUUUCCCUCUUUCUUCCUCUGUUCUGUAAUACUAUUACUUUUCUAAAUUCUUCUAUGUAUUUCUCCUUUUAUAGCUUUAGAAGCUGUUCUUGUUCCUUUACUUCUUGUUAAGAAUACACAUGGUGCUAAUGUUAGGAAACACGGCUAUCAUGUCAGCAGUAUGGGAAUCAUCAAUGCCGAGUACUCGCGGAAGACUUAAAACAAAAAGUGGAAGCAAGUCAUAUUACAUACAUCGGUAUCAGCCACCACUUUCAACAUCAUUUCUGCUUAACUGGGAUUUGAGUUUUAUAUGAUGGAAGUUUGGCCUAACUUCACGAACCCCAGGCUUUCAAUAAGAUUUGCGUACUUGGUAGAGGUGGGACUCCAACAUUCCAAUAUUAAUAUCUGCGAGUAAUGCGUUUAGGUUUUGACUGGGACACCAACGACAUUAGCAUUUUGUAGCUUGCUAAGCUGGCCAGGCCAUUGAUUGGGACUGCACGGAUUGUGAUAAAUAGUCUCCAUAUCAAGGGUGAUGUAUGCAUAGGAAUCUCUUAUUCUACAAAGCUUUUAUUGAUGCCAAUUCUGGAUGGAAAAGCAGUUUUAUUCUCCUUCGUUUCAACUCCUGAAGUCAGAAUAGGAUAUGCCUUUGAGAGCGGGGGAAGCCAAUCAUUACCUGCGACAGAGCUUCCAGGCGUCUCUUCUUGGCCGAUCAAGAGGACCAAGAUCCAGAUCCCGAUCCAUAAUAGGAUUGCGAAUAGAAUGACAAGUUGUUUACUUUCCAUUUAUUUCUUUAAUUUUCGUUUUUUUUAGAAGAGUUAUUCUCGUAUCCCUAUUAGGUAAUCUAAUUAUUGUGUAAGGAAUGUAAACCUUAACUUUAUUAUUUCGU